AGUCGUAACAAGGUAUCCGUAGGUGAACCUGCAGAUGGAUCAUUACCAAAGGAUCCACAUCCACACGUAAUGUGAACUUUUUUUUUGAUGCGAUAUGGUGGGUUGAUGCUGGCGGCUGCUUGCGGCUGCCGGUGCCACCUGCCCUGUCGCACCAUAAUACUACACGUCUAUGUAAUUCAACUGAAGUCUUGUUUAUACAAUACACAAAACUAUAAACAGCUUUUAGCAAUGGGAUCUCUUGGCUCUU
Molecule: unclassified non-coding RNA, 247 nt
Filed under: fungal sp.
Lineage: Eukaryota; Fungi
Description: partial internal transcribed spacer region
Rfam family: Eukaryotic small subunit ribosomal RNA (bases 1-45)
Source: RNAcentral